UCCAUCCAUCGCGCUUCCUCCUCGAGGAAUUCCUCAAAUGUUCUCGGAGGCAAGCGGGCACACGCCGCGCGUCUCAGGCCACCAUACUGUGAGAUAUAAGCGCCGAGGUGAAGCGGCAGUGCAUUCUGGGACUUGUAUUCAUCACGUGGGGGGUAUGUUGACGUCAAAUACAGUGGACGGUAGCCGGUGAAAAGCCGAGAGGGGCCAUUUGCAUUCAGCGGACAACCAACAGAUGACCUCAGCAAGACACCCCCCCGAUGGUAAGCGAGCCUUCACUUUGAGAGCAUUUUCAGAUAACGACACUACAGUGCUGCCUUCGUGACCACACUUGGAACUCACAACACUUUUACGUCAAAUCAUAUUCAAAAGAGAUGAAAAUU
Hippocampus zosterae (dwarf seahorse) is the source of this 380-nucleotide long non-coding RNA. RefSeq lists it as uncharacterized. The transcript has 3 exons. The record is from RefSeq and is a predicted model, not a curated record. Lineage: Eukaryota; Metazoa; Chordata; Actinopteri; Syngnathiformes; Syngnathidae.